This 1068-nucleotide long non-coding RNA is filed under the name Manacus vitellinus (golden-collared manakin). RNAcentral's name for it is "lncRNA (ENSMVIG00005000741.1)". Lineage: Eukaryota; Metazoa; Chordata; Aves; Passeriformes; Pipridae. The record is from RNAcentral.
GGGAGCUUUCCCCAUGGAGCUGGGGAGCUUCCCUUUGGAGCUGGGAGCUGGGGACAUUCCCCUAUGGAGCUGGGGAGCUUCCCACCUGGAUCCAGGAGCUGGGGAGCUUCCCCUUUGGAUCUGGGGGCUGGGGAGCUUCCCCUUUGGAGCUGGGGGCUGGGGAGCUUUCCUGUUGGAUCUGGGGGCUGGGGAGAUUCCCCUUUGGAGCUCGGAGCUGGGGAGCUUUCCCCAUGGAGCUGGGGAGCUUCCCCUUUGGAGCUGGGGAGCUUCCCACCUGGAUCCAGGAGCUGGGGAGCUUCCCUUUGGAUCUGGGAGCUGGGGAGCUUUCCUCAUGGAGCAGGAGAGCUUCCCUUUGGAUCUGGGAGCUGGGGAGCUUUCCCUUUGGAUCUGGGAGCUGAGGAGAUUCCCCCCUAGAUCUGGGGGCUGGGGAGCUUCCCCUUUGGGUUCAGGAGCUUCCCACCUGGAUCUGGGAGCUGGGGAGCUUCCCCUUUGGAUCUGGGAGCUGGGGAGACUCCUCUUUGGAUUCAGGAGCUUCCCUGUUGGAUCUGGGGGCUGGGGAGCUUCCCCUUUGGAGCUGGGAGCUGGGGAGCUUUCCCCAUGGAGCUGGGGAGAUUCCCCUUUGGAUCUGGGGGCUGGGGAGCUUCCCCUUUGGAUCUGGGAGCUGGGGAGACUCCUCUUUGGAUUCAGGAGCUUCCCUGUUGGAUCUGGGGGCUGGGGAGCUUCCCCUUUGGAUCUGGGAGCUGGGGAGCUUUCCCCAUGGAGCUGGGGAGAUUCCCCUUUGGAUCUGGGAGCUGGGGAGCUUCCCCUUUGGGUUCAGGAGCUUCCCUUUGGAUCUGAGAGCUGGGGAGAUUCCCCUUUGGAUCUGGGAGCUGGGGAGCUUUCCCUUUGGGUUCAGAAGCUUCCCUUUGGAUCUGGGAGCUGGGGAGAUUCCCCUUUGGAUCCAGGAGCUGGGGAGCUUCUCCUCCCAGUCAGCUCUGGAAUUGGGAGCCAGGGAAUUUGUCCUGCCAGUUCAGCUUCGGAAUUGGAAGCCCAGAGCUUCUCUUCCCACUUCCCACCUUGGAUUUUCGG